UAAGCUUGCGGCGCUGGUUUCCCUCCCUUCCCUCCUGUGGUUUUUAUGAUUGAGCAAGCAUGUUUCGAAUGGGGGGGGGGUGUGCUUGUGUGGUUGUAGCAAUUUUUGCUUCCCACACCGUCUGUCGAAGGAUCGACGUCACCACGAUCCCUUCAAAAGCAUAUAAUUUAUACGGGGCCUCUGCCGUCUUUCCCCUUUAUCAAGCUUGACGAAAAAGUUGCCACAGCAAAUCCAGAAGUUUUUCGUCGGCCGCUGCUGAUCGCAAAGAAAUACCGUAUCGUUUGGGCCCCUGCCCAAUAAAAUCUAUGACAAGAUGGCCGAGUGGUUAAGGCGUACCGUUCAAGCUGUCACGUGAACACUUGGAAAGUUCCCUCUUUGGGAGAACUUCCUGAUCCGGUAUGGGGAAACCCGCGUGAGUUCGAGUCUCGCUCUUGUCAAUAUUUAUCUUUUUUUUAAAUCCUUCUUUUUUCCCCUUUUCUUUUAUGAAAAGUACA
This 494-nucleotide transfer RNA is filed under the name Histoplasma capsulatum var. duboisii H88. RNAcentral's name for it is "Histoplasma capsulatum H88 hypothetical RNA". The stretch from base 308 to 437 matches the Rfam family "tRNA". Lineage: Eukaryota; Fungi; Ascomycota; Eurotiomycetes; Onygenales; Ajellomycetaceae. The record is from RNAcentral.